This is a long non-coding RNA of Dromiciops gliroides (monito del monte), 454 nucleotides long. RefSeq lists it as uncharacterized. NCBI's taxonomy places the organism in Eukaryota, Metazoa, Chordata, Mammalia, Microbiotheria, Microbiotheriidae. The record is from RefSeq and is a predicted model, not a curated record. The transcript is spliced from 2 exons.
UUGUGCAAAGCGCUGCAGAUAAAGAGGCGAAAAGCCCCUGCUUCUAGAGCUCCAUGGGGUAGACAAGCAAACAAAUAUAUUCUAACAAGCUAUAUAUAGGUUAAGUGAGAAAUAAUUAAAAGAGGGAGGGCGCUAGUAUGAAGAGGAAUUGGGGGUGUCUUCCUGUAGACGAUGGGAAGCCAAUAGGCAGAGAUGAAGAGGGAGAACAUUUCAGGCAUGGGGGACGACCCGAGAAAAUGCUGGAAUAACAGUAUCUUGUUCUGGAACAUCAAGGAAGACGGUGUCUCUGGAUGAAGAGAAGAGUAUGAUUUUGACAUGCAUUCUGGGAGGGAAUGAGAUCACAGAUCCAUCGGAGUAUGGAAAGCUAACCUUAAAAGGUGCAACAUAUAAAUCUCCUCUGUUGAUUUAUUUGUGAACAGCAACAAUAAAUUGUCUCCCCCCAGUAAAAUGUAAA